Molecule: ribosomal RNA, 468 nt
Filed under: uncultured bacterium
Lineage: Bacteria
Description: partial 16S ribosomal RNA
Rfam family: Bacterial small subunit ribosomal RNA
Source: RNAcentral
GACGAACGCUGGCGGCGUGCUUAACACAUGCAAGUCGAACGGAAAGGCCCUGCUUUUGUGGGGUGCUCGGGUUGCGAACGGGUGAGUAACACUUUAGUAACCUGCCCUUGACUUUGGGUUAACUUCAGGAAACUGGGGCUAAUACCGGAUAGGAGCUCCUGCUGCAUGGUGGGGCUUGGAAAGUUUCGGCGGUUGGGGAUGGACUCGCGGCUUAUCAGCUUGUUGGUGGGGUGGUGGCUUACCAAGGCUUUGAGAGGUAGCAGGGCUGGGAGGGUAACCGGACAAGUCAGGACGGAGAUGCGGCACAGACUAGUACGCGAGGGAGGGGAGGAGAGUGGAGCACAAGGGGAGGGAGGCUAAUGCGACAAAGCCGCGUGGGGGAUGAGAGGAAGCGGGUUGUAAACCGAUUUCGCUUGAGACGAAGAGUGAGUGACGGUAAUGGGAAAAGAAGCACCGGCUAACUACGUG